UACGUAGGGACCGAGCGUUGUCCGGAUUCAUUGGGCGUAAAGAGCUCGUAGGCGGCUGCUCAAGUCGAAUGUGAAAACUCGAGGCUCAACCUCGAGCCUGCAUUCGAUACUGGGCGGCUAGAGUCUGGUAGGGGGAUCUGGAAUUCCUGGUGUAGCGGUGGAAUGCGCAGAUAUCAGGAGGAACACCGGUGGGGAAGGCGGGAUCCUGGGCCAGUACUGACGCUGAGGAGCGAAAGCGUGGGGAGCAAACAGG
RNAcentral lists this ribosomal RNA (253 nucleotides) under uncultured bacterium. RNAcentral describes it as "partial 16S ribosomal RNA". It matches the Rfam family "Bacterial small subunit ribosomal RNA", at positions 524 to 776 of the family's 1533-position model. The record is from RNAcentral.